Molecule: ribosomal RNA, 1508 nt
Filed under: Lactiplantibacillus argentoratensis
Lineage: Bacteria; Bacillati; Bacillota; Bacilli; Lactobacillales; Lactobacillaceae
Description: partial 16S ribosomal RNA
Rfam family: Bacterial small subunit ribosomal RNA
Source: RNAcentral
GAGUUUGAUCCUGGCUCAGGACGAACGCUGGCGGCGUGCCUAAUACAUGCAAGUCGAACGAACUCUGGUAUUGAUUGGUGCUUGCAUCAUGAUUUACAUUUGAGUGAGUGGCGAACUGGUGAGUAACACGUGGGAAACCUGCCCAGAAGCGGGGGAUAACACCUGGAAACAGAUGCUAAUACCGCAUAACAACUUGGACCGCAUGGUCCGAGCUUGAAAGAUGGCUUCGGCUAUCACUUUUGGAUGGUCCCGCGGCGUAUUAGCUAGAUGGUGGGGUAACGGCUCACCAUGGCAAUGAUACGUAGCCGACCUGAGAGGGUAAUCGGCCACAUUGGGACUGAGACACGGCCCAAACUCCUACGGGAGGCAGCAGUAGGGAAUCUUCCACAAUGGACGAAAGUCUGAUGGAGCAACGCCGCGUGAGUGAAGAAGGGUUUCGGCUCGUAAAACUCUGUUGUUAAAGAAGAACAUAUCUGAGAGUAACUGUUCAGGUAUUGACGGUAUUUAACCAGAAAGCCACGGCUAACUACGUGCCAGCAGCCGCGGUAAUACGUAGGUGGCAAGCGUUGUCCGGAUUUAUUGGGCGUAAAGCGAGCGCAGGCGGUUUUUUAAGUCUGAUGUGAAAGCCUUCGGCUCAACCGAAGAAGUGCAUCGGAAACUGGGAAACUUGAGUGCAGAAGAGGACAGUGGAACUCCAUGUGUAGCGGUGAAAUGCGUAGAUAUAUGGAAGAACACCAGUGGCGAAGGCGGCUGUCUGGUCUGUAACUGACGCUGAGGCUCGAAAGUAUGGGUAGCAAACAGGAUUAGAUACCCUGGUAGUCCAUACCGUAAACGAUGAAUGCUAAGUGUUGGAGGGUUUCCGCCCUUCAGUGCUGCAGCUAACGCAUUAAGCAUUCCGCCUGGGGAGUACGGCCGCAAGGCUGAAACUCAAAGGAAUUGACGGGGGCCCGCACAAGCGGUGGAGCAUGUGGUUUAAUUCGAAGCUACGCGAAGAACCUUACCAGGUCUUGACAUACUAUGCAAAUCUAAGAGAUUAGACGUUCCCUUCGGGGACAUGGAUACAGGUGGUGCAUGGUUGUCGUCAGCUCGUGUCGUGAGAUGUUGGGUUAAGUCCCGCAACGAGCGCAACCCUUAUUAUCAGUUGCCAGCAUUAAGUUGGGCACUCUGGUGAGACUGCCGGUGACAAACCGGAGGAAGGUGGGGAUGACGUCAAAUCAUCAUGCCCCUUAUGACCUGGGCUACACACGUGCUACAAUGGAUGGUACAACGAGUUGCGAACUCGCGAGAGUAAGCUAAUCUCUUAAAGUCAUUCUCAGUUCGGAUUGUAGGCUGCAACUCGCCUACAUGAAGUCGGAAUCGCUAGUAAUCGCGGAUCAGCAUGCCGCGGUGAAUACGUUCCCGGGCCUUGUACACACCGCCCGUCACACCAUGAGAGUUUGUAACACCCAAAGUCGGUGGGGUAACCUUUUAGGAACCAGCCGCCUAAGGUGGGACAGAUGAUUAGGGUG